UACGAAGGGGGCUAGCGUUGCUCGGAAUCACUGGGCGUAAAGGGUGCGUAGGCGGGUCUUUAAGUCAGGGGUGAAAUCCUGGAGCUCAACUCCAGAACUGCCUUUGAUACUGAAGAUCUUGAGUUCAGGAGAGGUGAGUGGAACUGCGAGUGUAGAGGUGAAAUUCGUAGAUAUUCGCAAGAACACCAGUGGCGAAGGCGGCUCACUGGUCCGGUACUGACGCUGAGGUGCGAAAGCGUGGGGAGCAAACAGG
Molecule: ribosomal RNA, 253 nt
Filed under: uncultured bacterium
Lineage: Bacteria
Description: partial 16S ribosomal RNA
Rfam family: Bacterial small subunit ribosomal RNA
Source: RNAcentral